AUUGAACGCUGGCGGCAGGCCUAACACAUGCAAGUCGAACGGUAACAGGAAGAAGCUUGCUUCUUUGCUGACGAGUGGCGGACGGGUGAGUAAUGUCUGGGAAACUGCCUGAUGGAGGGGGAUAACUACUGGAAACGGUAGCUAAUACCGCAUAACGUCGCAAGACCAAAGAGGGGGACCUUCGGGCCUCUUGCCAUCGGAUGUGCCCAGAUGGGAUUAGCUAGUAGGUGGGGUAACGGCUCACCUAGGCGACGAUCCCUAGCUGGUCUGAGAGGAUGACCAGCCAAACUGGAACUGAGACACGGUCCAGACUCCUGCGGGAGGCAGCAGUGGGAAAUAUUGCACAAUGGGCGCAAGCCUGAUGCAGCCAGGCCGCGUGUAUGAAGAAGGCCUUCGGGUUGUAAAGUACUUUCAGCGGGAGGAAGGGAGUAAAGUUAAUACCUUUGCUCAUUGACGUUACCCGCAGAAGAAGCACCGGCUAACUCCGUG
RNAcentral lists this ribosomal RNA (489 nucleotides) under uncultured bacterium. RNAcentral's name for it is "partial 16S ribosomal RNA". It matches the Rfam family "Bacterial small subunit ribosomal RNA", at positions 30 to 507 of the family's 1533-position model. The record is from RNAcentral.